RNAcentral lists this ribosomal RNA (466 nucleotides) under uncultured bacterium. RNAcentral describes it as "partial 16S ribosomal RNA". It matches the Rfam family "Bacterial small subunit ribosomal RNA", at positions 28 to 507 of the family's 1533-position model. The record is from RNAcentral.
GAUGAACGCUGGCGGCGUGCUUAACACAUGCAAGUCGAACGAUGAAGCCCAGCUUGCUGGGUGGAUUAGUGGCGAACGGGUGAGUAACACGUGAGUGACCUGCCCUUAACUCUGGGAUAAGCCUGGGAAACUGGGUCUAAUACCGGAUAGGAGCGUCCACCGCAUGGUGGGUGUUGGAAAGAUUUAUCGGUUUUGGAUGGACUCGCGGCCUAUCAGCUUGUUGGUGAGGUAAUGGCUCACCAAGGCGACGACGGGUAGCCGGCCUGAGAGGGUGACCGGCCACACUGGGACUGAGACACGGCCCAGACUCCUACGGGAGGCAGCAGUGGGGAAUAUUGCGCAAUGGGCGAAAGCCUGAUGCAGCGACGCCGCGUGAGGGAUGACGGCCUUCGGGUUGUAAACCUCUUUCAGUAGGGAAGAAGCGAAAGUGACGGUACCUGCAGAAGAAGCACCGGCUAACUACGUG